UAGGGAAUCUUCCGCAAUGGGCGAAAGCCUGACGGAGCAACGCCGCGUGAGUGAUGAAGGUCUUCGGAUCGUAAAACUCUGUUAUUAGGGAAGAACAAAUGUGUAAGUAACUAUGCACGUCUUGACGGUACCUAAUCAGAAAGCCACGGCUAACUACGUGCCAGCAGCCGCGGUAAUACGUAGGUGGCAAGCGUUAUCCGGAAUUAUUGGGCGUAAAGAGCGCGUAGGCGGAUUUUUAAGUAUGAUGUGAAAGCCCACGGCUCAACCGUGGGAGGUCAUUGGAAACUGGAAAUCUUGAGUGCAGAAGAGGAAUGUGGAAUUCCAGGUGAAGCGGUGAGAUGUGCAGAGAAAUGGAGGAACAACAGUGGCGAAGGCGACUUUCUGGUCUGUAACUGACGCUGAUUUGCAAAAGCGUGGGGAUCAAACAGG
RNAcentral lists this ribosomal RNA (429 nucleotides) under Actinomycetes bacterium. RNAcentral's name for it is "Actinobacteria bacterium partial 16S ribosomal RNA". It matches the Rfam family "Bacterial small subunit ribosomal RNA", at positions 355 to 776 of the family's 1533-position model. The record is from RNAcentral. Lineage: Bacteria; Bacillati; Actinomycetota; Actinomycetes.